This is an RNA transcript of Momordica charantia (bitter melon), 792 nucleotides long. It is a transcript of the gene named LOB domain-containing protein 4, with no coding region annotated. The record is from RefSeq and is a predicted model, not a curated record. Lineage: Eukaryota; Viridiplantae; Streptophyta; Magnoliopsida; Cucurbitales; Cucurbitaceae.
CAUAACCCUAAAUUCUGAUCAAUAUUCUUAAAUGCUAAUUAAUUUCCCCAUUUGAAAAUCUCUUCCUCUUCUUGUUCUUCUUCUUAGCGUCAAAAAGGAGUAGUGAAUUAAAUUGUAGCUAUUUAAUUAAUCAGAUUUAGAGAGAAGGCGGAGGACAUUAUAAUUAGGGGGAAAAUUAUGGCGACGGAGGUGAAUAUGGGCGGGAGCUGCAAAAAGAGUGCCCCAUCCCCAUGCGCCGCGUGCAAGCUUCUGCGGCGGCGGUGCUCUCAGGACUGCGUAUUUGGCCCUUAUUUCCCAGCCGACCAGCCCCACAAAUUCUCCUGCGUCCAUAAAGUCUUUGGAGCUAGUAAUGUCAGCAAGUUGUUGCAGAGAAUAGGAAGUGGCAGAGGAGCAGCGGAGCGACGCGGUGAGUUCGAUUGUGUACGAAGCGAAGGCGAGAAUAAAAGACCCGGUUUACGGGUGCGUGGGAACAAUAUCGAGCCUACAGCGGCAAGUGGAGGCACUCCAAGAGCAACUGGCCAUCACCCAGGCCCAGCUGCUCCACUUGAAAAUGGCCCAAUGCCCCACUCCCCACAAUGUCAAUCUCUGCUCUUCCUAGCUGCCUUUUAAUUUACCUUUCCUUUUUCCCCCACCUCUUACUUUUAAGUCUACCUUUUACUUUUUACACUAUAUUGAGUGUAACCAACCCUUUGGACUUCUUUAGUUUGACAUAUAUACAUUUCAUUCAUCAUAUAUAUAUUAUUAACUUCAUAUAUCUUAUGGUUAGAUCAUUAGACAGAAUUGUGUCACUUU